Molecule: ribosomal RNA, 200 nt
Filed under: uncultured bacterium
Lineage: Bacteria
Description: partial 16S ribosomal RNA
Rfam family: Bacterial small subunit ribosomal RNA
Source: RNAcentral
GCAGUCUGCAACUCGACUGCGUGAAGCUGGAAUCGCUAGUAAUCGCGAAUCAGAAUGUCGCGGUGAAUACUUCCCGGGUCUUGUACACACCGCCCGUCACACCACGAGAGUUUACAACACCCGAAGUCAGUGGCCUAACCGCAAGGAGGGAGCUGCCUAAGGUGGGGUAGAUGAUUGGGGUGAAGUCGUAACAAGGUACC